RNAcentral lists this ribosomal RNA (500 nucleotides) under uncultured Microbacterium sp. RNAcentral's name for it is "bacterial SSU rRNA". It matches the Rfam family "Bacterial small subunit ribosomal RNA", at positions 349 to 859 of the family's 1533-position model. Lineage: Bacteria; Bacillati; Actinomycetota; Actinomycetes; Micrococcales; Microbacteriaceae. The record is from RNAcentral.
CAGCAGUGGGGAAUAUUGCACAAUGGGCGGAAGCCUGAUGCAGCAACGCCGCGUGAGGGAUGACGGCCUUCGGGUUGUAAACCUCUUUUAGCAGGGAAGAAGCGAGAGUGACGGUACCUGCAGAAAAAGCGCCGGCUAACUACGUGCCAGCAGCCGCGGUAAUACGUAGGGCGCAAGCGUUAUCCGGAAUUAUUGGGCGUAAAGAGCUCGUAGGCGGUUUGUCGCGUCUGCUGUGAAAUCCCGAGGCUCAACCUCGGGCCUGCAGUGGGUACGGGCAGACUAGAGUGCGGUAGGGGAGAUUGGAAUUCCUGGUGUAGCGGUGGAAUGCGCAGAUAUCAGGAGGAACACCGAUGGCGAAGGCAGAUCUCUGGGCCGUAACUGACGCUGAGGAGCGAAAGGGUGGGGAGCAAACAGGCUUAGAUACCCUGGUAGUCCACCCCGUAAACGUUGGGAACUAGUUGUGGGGACCAUUCCACGGUUUCCGUGACGCAGCUAACGCA